Molecule: ribosomal RNA, 465 nt
Filed under: uncultured bacterium
Lineage: Bacteria
Description: bacterial SSU rRNA
Rfam family: Bacterial small subunit ribosomal RNA
Source: RNAcentral
AUUGAACGCUGGCGGCAUGCCUUACACAUGCAAGUCGAACGGCAGCACGGGAGCAAUCCUGGUGGCGAGUGGCGAACGGGUGAGUAAUAUAUCGGAACGUGCCCAGUCGUGGGGGAUAACGUAGCGAAAGCUACGCUAAUACCGCAUACGAUCUAUGGAUGAAAGCGGGGGAUCGCAAGACCUCGCGCGAUUGGAGCGGCCGAUAUCAGAUUAGGUAGUUGGUGAGGUAAAGGCUCACCAAGCCGACGAUCUGUAGCUGGUCUGAGAGGACGACCAGCCACACUGGGACUGAGACACGGCCCAGACUCCUACGGGAGGCAGCAGUGGGGGAAUUUUUGGGACAAUGGGCGCAAGCCUGAUCCAGCAAUGCCGCGUGCAGGAUGAAGGCCUUCGGUUGUAACUGCUUUUGUACGGUAACGAGACGGCGAGCGUCUAAUACAGUUGCUAAUGACGGUACCGUAAGAA